GACAGAGGGUGCAAACGUUGUUCGGAAUUACUGGGCGUAAAGCGUGUGUAGGCGGCCUCAAAAGUCGGGUGUGAAAGCCCCGGGCUCAACCCGGGAAGUGCACUCGAUACUGUGAGGCUAGAGUAUCGGAGAGGUUGGUGGAAUUCUCGGUGUAGAGGUGAAAUUCGUAGAUAUCGAGAGGAACACCGGCGGCGAAGGCGGCCAACUGGACGAAUACUGACGCUGAGAUACGAAAGCGUGGGGAGCAAACAGG
RNAcentral lists this ribosomal RNA (253 nucleotides) under uncultured bacterium. RNAcentral's name for it is "partial 16S ribosomal RNA". It matches the Rfam family "Bacterial small subunit ribosomal RNA", at positions 524 to 776 of the family's 1533-position model. The record is from RNAcentral.